This is a small nucleolar RNA of Nycticebus coucang (slow loris), 102 nucleotides long. RefSeq annotates it as small nucleolar RNA SNORA13. The record is from RefSeq and is a predicted model, not a curated record. Lineage: Eukaryota; Metazoa; Chordata; Mammalia; Primates; Lorisidae. The transcript has a single exon.
UGUCUCUACAAAAAAAAAAAAAGGCAUCAAUUAAAUGCCUUGCAGCCUUUUCCUGUCCUUAAAUUUGGUAUCUUUGGUACAGAGGCUGCAUAAGUAACAGUU